This is an RNA transcript of Zea mays, 2304 nucleotides long. It is a transcript of the gene named histone acetyltransferase pseudogene, with no coding region annotated. The transcript is spliced from 10 exons. NCBI's taxonomy places the organism in Eukaryota, Viridiplantae, Streptophyta, Magnoliopsida, Poales, Poaceae. The record is from RefSeq and is marked validated.
GGUGAACGCCACAGACAUGGUGACUCAAAACCUGCAAGGGAAAGUUACGGCCGAUACACCAUCGGCGGAGGACCUUGCAAUGCUUCAGCUGGAUAACAUGGACCAGAAUACAUCUCCGGUUCGCCGCCUCAUCAUGAAUAAAAUUGAAGCAUGCCUGAAAAAGAGUGAACGGUAUCGUAACUUCCGCCCAUAUUUUUUACGAUUCCCUUCAAGAAUCAUUGACAGCAUACUCUACGAAACAGCUCCCCAGCUGUAUUAUUACAUGGAUCUUGACACAGUAGAAGUCAGGGUGAAUAAUUACCUCAGAUCUUUGCGGCAGCUGCCUGGGAUACAGAUGACAGACUUAAGUGCCUAUCAUAAUAGAGUUGCCCCUGGUUUUACUAAUUUUCCUGCACAUGGAGGAGACGUACCUCCACAUACUGCGUUUACUUCGCAGAGAUAUGUACCACAGAAUCCCGACAUGGCCGUUGCUAAUGUUUCUCUAGCUGAAACGCCUGAAAGCUUUAUGAGCACCAUAGUUGCUCCAUCUGUUUCAGUACUUCCUAACCGUAUUUCAGGCCUUUGUGGGAUUGAUAGUGCUGGAUUGCAAAAUGGCUAUUUAAAGGACCAUUUUCCAGGUGAUGCUUACCCAAAUACAGAGAAUAUCUCUAAAGCAAGUGGGCAAAAACUCUUUACCGGUGAAGGACAAUUGUUUCAACAAUACAGAGAAUAUGAGAAAGAGUUAGACGGUGCAUGGAGCCACCCAGCAGAGAAGGCAGUUCACUCAAAUAGGACAACUCAAAGCAAUGAAAUAUAUCUCAAUGGAGAAUGUGGACCUGACACAUUCAUGGAAAUGACAGAAAACUAUUGGUGCAUCUCGGACUCUAGGAACUCAUGCAGGGAGAUAUACUCAAAUUUAAGCACAUCCAAUCAGUGUUUCGUGUCUGAUUGUGAUCCUUGUGACCCUGAGAGAGAAAUUGUUGAAAGAUCUGAACAUACACCAAAUAGUACAGUAUCAAAGCCAACUUCACCUAUUUCAGAUGAAUCUUCUGCCAAGCGUCCAGCAAAACGCCUGAAGGCUGUUAUGGAAGAGAAGUUAUACUUUGCAAAGGGUGACAUUGAGAUGAGAGAGGCAAAGACCGUUGCAUGGGAUCAGACACCAAGAGGGGUCAGUUUAAGUUCAAGGCGAGAGAGAGGGGCUUCUAUACUUUAUGGAUUAACUGCUGAGGAGCUUGGAGAUCAUAUGAGUAGUCUAACAAACCAGAAUACUUGUCUGAGCAAGGAGACAUCUCAAGAAUUUCCAUCAAUUGAUGGAUUGCCUGAUCAGAAUACAUGCAGUUUGUGUGGAAUGGAGAUGCUUCUUUUUGAACCUCCUCCACGAUUUUGUGCUCUCUGUUUCAAAAUAAUAAAUUCUGCAGGGUGCUAUUAUGUCGAAGUUGAAAAUGGAAGUGAGGAAACUUCUAUAUGUUGCAAAUGCCACCAUCUUAGCAGUUUAAAAGCUAAAUACCAGAAGAAAUUUAAUUAUGCAGAAACAGAUGCUGAGGCUGAAUGGUGGGUCCAGUGCAACAAGUGCAAAGCUUGGCAGCAUGAAAUCUGUGCUCUUUUUAACAGAAAGUGUGAAGGGGCAAAGGCUGAGUAUACUUGCGCAAAAUGUUUUUUGAGUGAAAAGGAUAGCGGAGAUAUUCAGGCACUCGAGCCAUCCACUGUUCUUGGGGCACAUGAGUUACCAAGAACUAAGCUAAGUGAUCAUAUUGAGCAAAGACUUUCAGAGAGGCUUAAGCAGGACAGACAACACAGAGCGAGCGCCUCUGGAAAAGUUGCUGAAGAGGUACCAGGCGUGAAAGGUCUUACAGUUAGAGUAGUUUCUUCAGUUGACAGAUUAGUACAAGUCCAACCACGUUUUCGUGACUUAUUUAAACAAGAAAAGUAUCCUGGGGAAUUUCCAUACAGAUCGAAGGCCAUUCUCUUGUUUCAGAAGAUUGACGGUGUGGAUGUUUGCCUGUUCGCGAUGUAUGUACAAGAGUAUGGUUCAGAUUGCCCAUCACCAAAUCAAAGACAUGUUUAUCUUGCAUAUAUCGAUUCUGUCAAAUAUUUGCGGCCUGAAAUAAAAUCUUCAAGUGGAGAAGCUCUCCGCACCUUUGUGUAUCAUGAAAUUUUGAUUGGCUAUCUGGACUACUGCAAGAAACGAGGAUUUGUAAGCUGUUCCAUAUGGGCUUGCAGGGGCGGACCCAGGCCUAUGGCCGCCUGGGCCACGGCCCGGGGCGCAGGCCCAAUAUUUUCUUAGAAGAGCCGUGAGCCGGCACAGGAUCACAGGCAUAGCCCAGC